Molecule: ribosomal RNA, 32 nt
Filed under: Teratosphaeria nubilosa
Lineage: Eukaryota; Fungi; Ascomycota; Dothideomycetes; Mycosphaerellales; Teratosphaeriaceae
Also listed under: 2 other names
Description: partial 26S ribosomal RNA
Source: RNAcentral
CAGGUAGGGAUACCCGCUGAACUUAAGCAUAU